RNAcentral lists this long non-coding RNA (1072 nucleotides) under Arachis ipaensis. RNAcentral describes it as "long non-coding RNA (AIPA_LNC000646)". The record is from RNAcentral. Lineage: Eukaryota; Viridiplantae; Streptophyta; Magnoliopsida; Fabales; Fabaceae.
GCUCUAAUUCGCUGUCGCCGGCCUGAUUUCUCUCAAUUUAUUGCUACCAGUGCCAUUUGGUGACCUUCUCCCUUGAUUUGGAGUGUAAACUUAAUUCGUAGACGUCACAUCAGAAUUAAUAAUGCACAUUUCGGUAAUUAUUUUUUUUUUUUUUACUAAAGAUAGGAGACUCGAACCCGCAACCUCUUAAUUGAGUAUGGGGAGACUAUGCCAUUUGAGUUAUUACUCAUUGACUCGGUAACUAUUUUUAGUCGUGCGUAUAUUGAGAAAUAAAAUAUUUUUAAUAUUUAUUUAUAUAAAAAAGUCAAACAUAUUUACCAAUAGUUGUGUUCUAAGACCUAAUAUGUGUUUAUUCAAGCUUUUUUAAGUGAGAUUUCAAUCGUCCACGAAAUGGAAAAAUGCUUAAGCACUUCAAUUAUACUAGGAAGAUAUUUAUACCGUUGUUUUCGUGUACGUGUGUGUAUAUAUAUUGGCUAAGCUAGGAAAAUUAGUUUGUUGUUAUAUGUCGUUUCAAUUAUUCUUGAGUUUCAACACUUCAAUAAUUGUCAUUUCUCUAAGUCAAUAGUAGCUACUAGCUACCUAUAGGGGGAAAAACACUUUCAUAUACAUAUUCAACAAAAUGUGAAAUAAAUGGGGUAAACUAUAUUUAUCUUUAAGAUUUAUAAUUUUUUUUAAAAAUAUUCUUAACGUUUAAUUUAUUCAAUUUUAUUUGUAAUAUUUUCGAUUCAUUCAACUUUUUGCUAAUGUUUUUGAUUUAUUUCAAAAUUACUCUUAAAAUUUUAAAUUUUGUCCCUAAUACAUAAAAUUAACAUUCAGAGAUAGAGUUGAUAUUAAAAUAAAUCCUCCAAUAAAUCGAAGAAGAUUUCAGCACUUUUAAUUAGAUUUAUAAGUGUUGUUUGUGCUAUUGAUUUGGCUGUUUUAAUACUUUUGUUUGUAUGGACUUUAUUUUCUUAUUAUCGUACAAUUUAUACUUUAUAUAAAGCAGUAAUAACUUUCCUAAUUAUUCUGUUGUAUAUUCCUUCAUAUUUUCUUCUCUAAUCAACAUGUUUGUCCGCGUAAUAACAAAUAAGAA